This 403-nucleotide ribosomal RNA is filed under the name bacterium. RNAcentral's name for it is "partial 16S ribosomal RNA". It matches the Rfam family "Bacterial small subunit ribosomal RNA", at positions 355 to 776 of the family's 1533-position model. The record is from RNAcentral.
UGGGGAAUAUUGCACAAUGGAGGGAACUCUGAUGCAGCGACGCCGCGUGAACGAAGAAGGCUUUCGAGUCGUAAAGUUCUUUUAUAUGGGAAGAUAAUGACGUUACCAUAAGAAAAAGCCCCGGCUAACUACGUGCCAUCAGCCGCGGUAAUACGUAGGGGGCUAGCGUUGUCCGGAAUCACUGGGCGUAAAGGGUUCGCAGGCGGAAAUGCAAGUCAGGUGUAAAAGGCAGUAGCUUAACUACUGUAAGCAUUUGAAACUGCAUAUCUUGAGAAGAGUAGAGGUAAGUGGAAUUUUUAGUGUAGCGGUGAAAUGCGUAGAUAUUAAAAAGAAUACCGGUGGCGAAGGCUGCUUACUGGGCUCAUUAUGACGCUGAGGAACGAAAGCGUGGGUAGCAAACAGG